Molecule: ribosomal RNA, 460 nt
Filed under: uncultured bacterium
Lineage: Bacteria
Description: partial 16S ribosomal RNA
Rfam family: Bacterial small subunit ribosomal RNA
Source: RNAcentral
CCUACGGGAGGCAGCAGUGAGGCAUAUUGGUCAAUGGGCGUAAGCCUGAACCAGCCAAGUCGCGUGAGGGAUGAAGGUUCUAUGGAUCGUAAACCUCUUUUAUAAGGGAAUAAAGUGUGGGACGUGUCCUGUUUUGUAUGUACCUUAUGAAUAAGGAUCGGCUAACUCCGUGCCAGCAGCCGCGGUAAUACGGAGGAUCCGAGCGUUAUCCGGAUUUAUUGGGUUUAAAGGGUGCGUAGGCGGCCUUUUAAGUCAGCGGUGAAAGUCUGUGGCUCAACCAUAGAAUUGCCGUUGAAACUGGGAGGCUUGAGUAGGUUUGAGGCAGGCGGAAUGCGUGGUGUAGCGGUGAAAUGCUUAGAUAUCACGCAGAACCCCGAUUGCGAAGGCAGCCUGCCAAGCCAUGACUGACGCUGAUGCACGAAAGCGUGGGGAUCAAACAGGAUUAGAUACCCCGGUAGUC